UGAUUAUUAUCAGGGACUAUUUAGUUCAGCUGUUUUGUUCAGACAUGGGUAGUUCUCUGCUCUCAGUCUUAUUAUUUUAUUUUUUUUUAUCCCUCUAGUACUUACAUGUUUUAUUUUUCACAGAGCCCUUUUGCUCUGUCACCUUGUGUUUCCAUUCGGACUAUAAAACCUGAUGAGCCUCCACAGGCGAAGGAACUGGAAAAACAAGCCACACUGAACGCAUCGGUUGAACCAACAAUGGAGGACAUAACACUUUGUUCCUCAAGUGGUAACAGAGUGACUCAUUGUGAAAGGAGCUGAGAAUGUGCGACUGCAACGCUCAUGGAGUUUGUCAUCUCUUCUCUGG
Molecule: long non-coding RNA, 346 nt
Organism: Dunckerocampus dactyliophorus (ringed pipefish)
Lineage: Eukaryota; Metazoa; Chordata; Actinopteri; Syngnathiformes; Syngnathidae
Exons: 3
Source: RefSeq, a predicted model, not a curated record